GACGAACGCUGGCGGCGUGCUUAACACAUGCAAGUCGAACGGAAAGGCCCUGCUUUUGUGGUGUGCUCGAGUGGCGAAAGUGUGAAUAACACGUGAGUAACCUGCCCUUGCUUUUGGCAUAACUUCAGGAAACUGGGGCUAAUACCGGAAAGGAGCUCCUGCUGCGUAGGGGGGUUUGGAAGGUUUAGGCGGUUGGGGAUGGACUCGGGGCUUAUCAGCUUGCUGGUGGGGUAGUGGCUUGGCAAGGCUUUGACGGGUAGCCGGCCGGAGAGGGUGACCGGCCACACUGGGACUGAGAUACGGCCCAGACGCCUACGGGAGGCAGCAGUGGGGGAUAUUGCACAAUGGGCGGAAGGCUGAUGCAGCAACGCCGCGUGCGGGAUGACGGCCUUCGGGUUGUAACCCGCUUUCGCCUGUGACGAAGCGUGAGUGACGGUAAUGGGUAAAGAAGCACCGGCUAACUACGUG
Molecule: ribosomal RNA, 468 nt
Filed under: uncultured bacterium
Lineage: Bacteria
Description: partial 16S ribosomal RNA
Rfam family: Bacterial small subunit ribosomal RNA
Source: RNAcentral